This is a non-coding RNA of Pelobates cultripes (western spadefoot toad), 207 nucleotides long. The record is from the annotation of a GenBank genome assembly. NCBI's taxonomy places the organism in Eukaryota, Metazoa, Chordata, Amphibia, Anura, Pelobatidae.
GAGAGGGGGUGACUAGUGAUCGAGUGAGGGAGGGAGUGGGUGACUAGUGACAGAGUGAGGAAGGGGGUGACACAGUGAUAGUCAACCCAUUCCUCCCUCUGUCACUUGUCACCCCUUCCCUCCCUCACUCUGUCACUAGUCACACCCUCCCUCUCUCUGUCACUAGUCACACCCUUACUCACUGUCACUAGUCACACCCUCCCUCUC